Molecule: ribosomal RNA, 253 nt
Filed under: uncultured bacterium
Lineage: Bacteria
Description: partial 16S ribosomal RNA
Rfam family: Bacterial small subunit ribosomal RNA
Source: RNAcentral
UACGUAGGGUGCGAGCGUUAAUCGGAAUUACUGGGCGUAAAGCGUGCGCAGGCGGUUCGUUAAGUUCGUUGUGAAAGCCCCGGGCUCAACCUGGGAACUGCAAUGGAAACUGGCGGGCUUGAGUGUGGCAGAGGGGGGUGGAAUUCCACGUGUAGCAGUGAAAUGCGUAGAGAUGCGGAGGAACACCGAUGGCGAAGGCAGCCCCCUGGGCCAACACUGACGCUCAGGCACGAAAGCGUGGGGAGCAAACAGG